RNAcentral lists this ribosomal RNA (323 nucleotides) under uncultured Nitrospirota bacterium. RNAcentral's name for it is "bacterial SSU rRNA". It matches the Rfam family "Bacterial small subunit ribosomal RNA", at positions 29 to 351 of the family's 1533-position model. Lineage: Bacteria; Pseudomonadati; Nitrospirota. The record is from RNAcentral.
AGUGAACGUUGGCGGCGUGCCUAACACAUGCAAGUCGAGCGCGUUCCGGGGGCAACUCCGGGACGAGCGGCGAACGGGUGAGUAACACGUGGGUAAUCUCCCUCCGAGUGAGGAAUAAGCCCCCGAAAGGGGGUCUAAUACCGCAUGACGCCGUGGGGCAUAUGCUCCCAUGGUUAAAGCCGUAAGGCGCUUGGAGAUGAGCCUGCGUCCUAUUAGCUAGUUGGUAGGGUAACGGCCUACCAAGGUUAUGAUGGGUAGCCGGCCUGAGAGGGUGAUCGGCCACACUGGGACUGAGACACGGCCCAGACUCCUACGGGAGGCAG